GAUGAACGCUGACAGAAUGCUUAACACAUGCAAGUCGAAGGGGAAGUGGUGCUUGCACCAUGGUAACCAUGGCGGACGGUUGGGUCACGCGUAAGGAACUUACCUGCGUGACCGGGAUAACAGCAGGAAACUGCUGACAAGACCGGAUAAGGUCAUUAAGCUGCAUAGCUUAGUGAUGAAAGGAGACGCCUGCGGAGAGCCUUGCGUCCUAUUAGCUAGUUGGAGGGGUAACGGCCCACCAAGGCGAAGAUAGGUAGCCGGCCUGAGAGGGUGGAGGGCCACAAGGGGACUGAGAUACCGCCCUUACGACUACGGGAGGAAGCAGUGGUGAAUAUUGGAGAAUGGUGGCAAACCUGAUCCAGCAAUUCUGUGUGCACGAAGACGGUUUUCGGAUUGUAAAGUGCUUUCAGCAGGGAAGAAGGAAGUGACGGUACCUGCAGAAGAAGCGACGGCUAAAUACGUG
RNAcentral lists this ribosomal RNA (463 nucleotides) under uncultured bacterium. RNAcentral describes it as "partial 16S ribosomal RNA". It matches the Rfam family "Bacterial small subunit ribosomal RNA", at positions 28 to 507 of the family's 1533-position model. The record is from RNAcentral.